RNAcentral lists this unclassified non-coding RNA (241 nucleotides) under Hevea brasiliensis (rubber tree). The record is from RNAcentral. Lineage: Eukaryota; Viridiplantae; Streptophyta; Magnoliopsida; Malpighiales; Euphorbiaceae.
AGCAAAUUGAGUCUCCCAAUGAAUUCAGAGAUGAACCAUGACACUGGAUACCUUGGAUAGAUCAUUGACGGACGUAUGGGGGAUUUUAUCCGAAACUUCAUUUUUCGGUAGUCUUCAUUUUGCUCUGCUCGCGCUGCCCUUCUCUUUCUCUCUAACAAUGGCGUCCUCUUCUUUCUCGAAGGUUAAUUGUAACGAUAAUGCUAGCAAUGUCGAUGUGAAGCUGUUCUCUUCUCUUUUAGCU